CCUCUCUUAGCUAAUUUUCCCCCAUCCAUUCUUUUUCUCUUUCGGUCCCCAUAAGAACAACACCAGCAACUCUCUCACACCCUCCUUCAUUCUUCAUUCUUCAUCCUCCUUCAUUCUUUGUUCCAUGAGAGCACCGCAAGUAGAAGGAGUUGGAUAUUCAGAGGCAACAACAACAAGAUUAAGAGAUAAUAACAAGUAAAAAGAAACAAGUCUAUAAAACAAGCAUUUCCAAGAUAAAUUAAAACACGUUAGCCACAUUUGUUCCAUUGAAAAUGAAAUAAUUGUUAAAAUUGACUUUGCUUUGCUGUCAUAGUUACUAAUAUUUGUUUAUAUCUGUAAGUUAAUAAUCCCUACUUCUUAGGACUUAUUAGUGGGACUUAGUGAGUUUUCUCCACAUUCCACGUUUCUGUUAGUGGACUGAGUUAGUGGAGUAACUUAAUUUAUUUUCUUUCUUUGUAAGGCUUUAUAUAAGCUACUAUUGCAGUUGAAUUAAAUAAGAGAGCAUUCCCUUUAAUUUUCUGUUCAACAAUAAUAGGUGUUAGCUUUGCAAUUGUGUUUGUUGGAUAGAAUGAAAUUAGAAUGAGAGAAAAGGCAAGGACGGACCUGUGAUGAAUGUUGUUCGAUAAGGCUUGUGCAAAGAAAUGGCCAUGGUCCAUGGAAUAACUAUGGUGAAGGAACAAACCACCGCCAAGAGUACCAGAACAAAUCAAGAACCCAAAAGGAAACAAUCACCAGAGAAUCCAAGGGAAAACGCGAAAAAAUGGUGAAAAUCCCACAUCGAAGCAACGCCGGAGCCUCGCCGGAGUUUGUUAUGUCGCCAAAAGAAGACGGAUAUGGAGAUAGGAGAGGAGCUUCAUACCACACGUUUUUAUGUGUAUCUCUGGAU
This 886-nucleotide long non-coding RNA is filed under the name Medicago truncatula (barrel medic). RNAcentral's name for it is "long non-coding RNA (MTRU_LNC003615)". The record is from RNAcentral. Lineage: Eukaryota; Viridiplantae; Streptophyta; Magnoliopsida; Fabales; Fabaceae.